Molecule: long non-coding RNA, 811 nt
Organism: Neodiprion fabricii
Lineage: Eukaryota; Metazoa; Arthropoda; Insecta; Hymenoptera; Diprionidae
Exons: 3
Source: RefSeq, a predicted model, not a curated record
AAAUUUUUUUUUGUGCGCAUGCGUCAAGAUCAGCCAUGUUUAGCGUACUGUUUUUUGUAAACAAGCAUGUUAAAGUGCCCGCGUCUAGAAAAUAAAAGCAAAUAAAUAUUAAUUAAGGUAUAUUAAUAUAAAAACAGGAAAAAAAAUUAAAGUAAUAAGUGUCACUAUUGAGAAAUAAAUUUUUGCAACUGAUUGUAAUCAUGUUAUCUGUACGAAAAGGAACAACAAAACGGUGUUGUUAUGGAGUAUGUAAAAGUGACACACGGUAUAAAUCAUUCAAAGGCAAUACAUAUUAUUUUAUAAAUUUUCCAAAGCCUUGUCUAGAGUAUCGCAAAAAAAUUAUCAAAUCCUCAAGCAAAUUACAUAUUAAAGCAUGUGCAAAAUGUGCAAAAUGUGAAUUGUGGGUAAAAAAAUGUGGCCGAAGUGACAGAGGUUUUAGAUCAAUCGAUGAUGUGACUAAGGAUACUUAUAUUUGUUCACUACAUUUUCAUGGAGAAAGUGGUCCAACUGAGAAGAAUCCUGAUCCUUUAAGCUACCAAGAAUUUCAACAAAUUGAUAAAUCAAUCGAUAAGGUAGUCAAAGUUAGAACCAGCCUAUUUGAAAAAUAUAAAAGAGCUGAUAUGGAAGGAGAGAAUGAAUCAGAAAAAACGAAAAUAAACAACAUUUCGACGGUUGCGCAGAAAUCUACGGCCCAUGAAGAGAUUUUCAAUGUUCCUGAUGAUACUGCUUGUUUUAUUCAACAAAUAUUACCAGAUCAAUCAGCAGAGAUGAGAAUACUGGAGGAAGAAACUAACUGUGAGGGAACUAACAA